GAAAUGCGAUAAGUAGUGUGAAUUGCAGAAUUCAGUGAAUCAUCGAAUCUUUGAACGCACAUUGCGCCCUUUGGUAUUCCAAAGGGCAUGCUUGUUCGAGCGUCAUUUGUACCCUCAAGCUUUGCUUGGUGUUGGGUGUUUGUCCCUGCCCUGCGCUUGGACUCGCCUUAAAUUCAUUGGCAGCCGAUAUAUUGGUUUGAAGCGCAGCACAAUUUGCGUUUUGGGCUCGUAAUUCUCGGCGUCCAGUAAGCAACAUUUAACACUUUUGACCUCGGAUCAAGUAGGGAUACCCGCUGAACUUAA
Molecule: unclassified non-coding RNA, 303 nt
Filed under: uncultured Dothideomycetes
Lineage: Eukaryota; Fungi; Ascomycota; Dothideomycetes
Description: sequence contains ITS1
Rfam family: 5.8S ribosomal RNA (bases 1-105)
Source: RNAcentral